RNAcentral lists this ribosomal RNA (308 nucleotides) under uncultured Acidobacteriota bacterium. RNAcentral's name for it is "bacterial SSU rRNA". It matches the Rfam family "Bacterial small subunit ribosomal RNA", at positions 36 to 358 of the family's 1533-position model. The record is from RNAcentral. Lineage: Bacteria; Pseudomonadati; Acidobacteriota.
CUGGCGGCGCGUUCAACUCAUGCAAGAAAAACGAGAAAGUGGAGCAAUCCAUGAGUAAAGUGGCGACCGGUUUGACAACACGUGACUAACUUACCCUCGAGUGGGGGAUAACCCCGGGAAACCGGGGCUAAUACCGCAUAACAUCGAGAGAUCAAAGGAGCAAUCCGCUUGAGGAGAGGGUCGCGGCUGAUUAGCUAGUUGGUAGGGUAAUGGCCUACCAAGGCUGAGAUCGGUAGCCGGCCUGAGAGGGCGCACGGCCACACUGGAACUGAAACACGGUCCAGACUCCUACGGGAGGCAGCAGUGGG